This 27-nucleotide non-coding RNA is filed under the name Rattus norvegicus (Norway rat). Lineage: Eukaryota; Metazoa; Chordata; Mammalia; Rodentia; Muridae. The record is from RNAcentral.
UGAUAUGUGACCAGCCAGGGCUUGUGG